UAUUGGACAAUGGGGGGAACCCUGAUCCAGCGACGCCGCGUGAGUGAAGAAGUAUCUCGGUGUGUACAGCUCUCUCAGCAGGGAAGAAGAAAUGACGGUACCUGAUUAAGAAGCCCCGGCUCACUACGUGCCAGCAGCCGCGGUAAUACGUAGGGGGCAAGCGUUAUCCGGAAUUACUGGGUGUAAAGGGAGCGUAGACGGUGAUGUAAGUCUGGAGUGAAAGGCGGGGGCCCAACCCCCGGACUGCUCUGGAAACUAUGUGACUGGAGUGCAGGAGAGGUGAGCGGAAUUCCUAGUGUAGCGGUGAAAUGCGUAGAUAUUAGGAGGAACACCAGUGGCGAAGGCGGCUCACUGGGCUGUAACUGACGUUGAGGCUCGAAGGCGUGGGGAGCAAACAGG
This 399-nucleotide ribosomal RNA is filed under the name uncultured bacterium. Its description in RNAcentral is "bacterial SSU rRNA". It matches the Rfam family "Bacterial small subunit ribosomal RNA", at positions 362 to 776 of the family's 1533-position model. The record is from RNAcentral.